This 485-nucleotide small RNA is filed under the name Pongo abelii (Sumatran orangutan). RNAcentral's name for it is "processed transcript". The record is from RNAcentral. Lineage: Eukaryota; Metazoa; Chordata; Mammalia; Primates; Hominidae.
GGAGCAUACAAGAUGGUGAACUGAAUGAACACUGAGGUUUGACUGCUUAUUCCUUGAUGAACCCUCUGUAAAAUUUGGCCGAAUGUCAAAAAAGCAGAGAGACAGCUUGUAUGCAGAAGUACAGAAACACCGGAUGCAGCAGCAGCAGCGCGACCACCAGCAGCAGCCUGGAGAGGCUGAGCCGCUGACGCCCACCUACAACAUCUCAGCCAACGGGCUGACGGAACUUCACGACGACCUCAGUAACUACAUUGACGGGCACACCCCUGAGGGGAGUAAGGCAGACUCCGCCGUCAGCAGCUUCUACCUGGACAUACAGCCUUCCCCAGACCAGUCAGGUCUUGAUAUCAAUGGAAUCAAACCAGAACCAAUAUGUGACUACACACCAGCAUCAGGCUUCUUUCCCUACUGUUCGUUCACCAACGGCGAGACUUCCCCAACAGUGUCCAUGGCAGAAUUAGAACACCUUGCACAGAAUAUAUCUA